GUCCAGGGAUGGGAAUCGAACCCACAAUGUUCCGCUUACCGGGCAGAUGCCAUGUCCACUAGGCAAACUAUUGUUUGACUCCUCCUUGGA
Cordylochernes scorpioides is the source of this 90-nucleotide non-coding RNA. NCBI's taxonomy places the organism in Eukaryota, Metazoa, Arthropoda, Arachnida, Pseudoscorpiones, Chernetidae. The record is from the annotation of a GenBank genome assembly.